UCACUUUGCGGGCAGGGUUGAGAA
This 24-nucleotide non-coding RNA is filed under the name Mus musculus (house mouse). The record is from RNAcentral. Lineage: Eukaryota; Metazoa; Chordata; Mammalia; Rodentia; Muridae.